Non-coding RNA from Salmo salar (Atlantic salmon), 54 nucleotides. The record is from Rfam. Lineage: Eukaryota; Metazoa; Chordata; Actinopteri; Salmoniformes; Salmonidae.
UGGUUUCCAAUUUGUAAGUCGCUCUGGAUAAGAGCGUCUGCUAAAUGACUUAAA